RNAcentral lists this non-coding RNA (104 nucleotides) under Pan troglodytes (chimpanzee). Lineage: Eukaryota; Metazoa; Chordata; Mammalia; Primates; Hominidae. The record is from RNAcentral.
AUUUUUUUAGAUUCCAUGUAUAAGUGAGAUGACAAAGUAUGUGUCUUUCUGUGCCUGGCUUAUUUCACUGAACAUAAUGUUCUCCAGGAAAAUACUCUUAUCUG